UACGGAGGGGGCUAGCGUUGUUCGGAAUUACUGGGCGUAAAGCGCACGUAGGCGGCUUUGUAAGUUAGAGGUGAAAGCCCGGGGCUCAACCCCGGAAUUGCCUUUAAGACUGCAUCGCUUGAACGUCGGAGAGGUGAGUGGAAUUCCGAGUGUAGAGGUGAAAUUCGUAGAUAUUGGGAAGAACACCGGUGGCGAAGGCGGCUCUCUGGACCGUAACUGACGCUGAGGCGCGAAAGCGUGGGGAGCAAACAGG
This 253-nucleotide ribosomal RNA is filed under the name uncultured bacterium. RNAcentral describes it as "partial 16S ribosomal RNA". It matches the Rfam family "Bacterial small subunit ribosomal RNA", at positions 524 to 776 of the family's 1533-position model. The record is from RNAcentral.